This 253-nucleotide ribosomal RNA is filed under the name uncultured bacterium. RNAcentral describes it as "partial 16S ribosomal RNA". It matches the Rfam family "Bacterial small subunit ribosomal RNA", at positions 524 to 776 of the family's 1533-position model. The record is from RNAcentral.
UACAGAGGGUGCAAGCGUUGUUCGGAAUCACUGGGCGUAAAGGGCGUGUAGGCGGUCCGCUAAGUCUGAUGUGAAAGCCCGGGGCUCACCCCCGGAAGGGCAUUGGAAACUGGCGGACUCGAGUCCCGGAGAGGAAGGUGGAAUUCCUGGUGUAGCGGUGAAAUGCGUAGAUAUCAGGAGGAAUACCGGUGGCGAAGGCGGCCUUCUGGACGGUGACUGACGCUGAGACGCGAAAGCGUGGGGAGCAAACAGG